CAGUCGCCGCGGUAACACGAAGGUCCCGAGCGUUGUUCGGAAUCACUGGGCGUAAAGGGAGCGUAGGCGGCGUGGUAAGUCAGAUGUGAAAUCCCGGGGCUCAACCCCGGCACUGCAUCCGAUACUGCCAUGCUAGAGGAUUGGAGAGGUAGCUGGAAUUCUUGGUGUAGCAGUGAAAUGCGUGGAGAUCAAGAGGAACACUCGUGGCGAAAGCGAGCUACUGGACAAUAACUGACGCUGAGGCUCGAAGGCCAGGGUAGCGAAAGGGAUUAGAUACCCCAGUAGUCCCUGUCUCUUAUAC
This 301-nucleotide ribosomal RNA is filed under the name uncultured bacterium. RNAcentral's name for it is "partial 16S ribosomal RNA". It matches the Rfam family "Bacterial small subunit ribosomal RNA", at positions 509 to 807 of the family's 1533-position model. The record is from RNAcentral.